GUGGACACGAGGUCGGCCCUUCUCUGUCGGGUCAGCCCCACCUCUGAAGCCACCUGUGCAGGAACAGUGGGGUGCAGCAAGGGAAGAGCCCUGGCAGAGGGCCGGUUCCAAUCCUGCCACAGAACGGCUCCCUCCCGUGGGGAAGGAGGUGAUGUGAUGAGGUGGUCCCUGAGACCCCUCCCGUGGGGAAGGAGGUGAUGUGAUGAGGUGGUCCCUGAGACCCCUCCUGUGGGGAAGGAGGUGAUGUGAUGAGGUGGUCCCUGAGGCCCCUCCUGUGGGGAAGGAGGUGAUGUGAUGAGGUGGUCCCUGAGGCCCCUCCCGUGGGGAAGGAGGUGAUGUGAUGAAGUGGUCCUGAGGCCCCUCCUGUGGGGAAGGAGGUGCUGUGAUGAUAUGGUCCCUGAGACUCCUCCUGUGGGGAAGGAGGUGAUGUGAUGAGGUGGUCCCUGAGGCUCCUCCCGUGGGGAAGGAGGUGAUGUGAUGAGGUGGUCCCUAAGACUCCUCCCGUGGGGAAGGAGGUGAUGUGAUG
Non-coding RNA from Oryctolagus cuniculus (rabbit), 526 nucleotides. NCBI's taxonomy places the organism in Eukaryota, Metazoa, Chordata, Mammalia, Lagomorpha, Leporidae. The record is from RefSeq and is a predicted model, not a curated record.